Long non-coding RNA from Hibiscus syriacus, 683 nucleotides. RefSeq lists it as uncharacterized. Lineage: Eukaryota; Viridiplantae; Streptophyta; Magnoliopsida; Malvales; Malvaceae. The transcript has 4 exons. The record is from RefSeq and is a predicted model, not a curated record.
UUCUCUUGAAAGUCUUCGAAUAUACGACUGCACGGAGCUUGAGCUAUCUGCAGAUGGCAUCCAAAUAUUCCAAGAUUAUACGAGCCUACGGCAUCUCCAUCUGGUAAACAUUCCAAAGUGUCAGCAUCUUCCGGAGUGGAUUCAACAUCUAACAAAUCUAAAAAAGCUUCGUCUAGUAUGUUUGCCGAAUUUAACAUCGCUUCCGGACGAGAUGCAUGGCCUAACCAGUUUGGAAGAGUUGGAUAUACUAAAUGUGCCCCAGUUGGAGGAAAGAUGUAGGAAGGACAUUGGUGCCGAUUGGCAUAAGAUUGCUCACAUCCCACACAUUGAGGUGAAUUGGGUUACGGUGCAAGACCUACUGGAGGGCAGUUGAGUAUUUAUGUGAAUUUAUAAGCAGAGAAACAGGAGCAUGAAAGAUAAUACAUUCCUCAGCAUUCUACUCCCAAUUUUCGUCACUGAAGCACAGGCCCUCAAAGAGAUAUCAACACAGAGACGAAUAGAUUGGCUGAGGGAGGAAUCGGUUGAGUGCAACCAUGGCAGGGGUCCAUAGUUGGUUCUUAUACGAGUUGGAAGGGGUCGUGGAUGCUGGUUAAUUGCUUUAGGCAGGUUUUCUGAUUGGUGAAUAGAUUGUACAGGUUAAUGGAUGUUCCUGUUAUGUACUGAUGUUAUUUAAUAAAAUAAUU